This 84-nucleotide transfer RNA is filed under the name Lawsonibacter sp. RNAcentral's name for it is "tRNA-Leu". It matches the Rfam family "tRNA". Rfam says of the family: Transfer RNA (tRNA) molecules are approximately 80 nucleotides in length. Their secondary structure includes four short double-helical elements and three loops (D, anti-codon, and T loops). The record is from RNAcentral. RNAcentral also lists the same sequence under 5 other names. Lineage: Bacteria; Bacillati; Bacillota; Clostridia; Eubacteriales; Oscillospiraceae.
GCGGGUAUGAUGGAAUUGGUAGACAUGCGAGAUUUAGGUUCUCGUGCUUUCCGCGUGUGGGUUCGAGUCCCACUACCCGUACCA